AUAAAGUGGCGAACGGCUGAGUAACACGUGGGCAACCUGCCCUUUGCACUGGGAUAGCCUCGGGAAACCGAGGUUAAUACCGGAUACUCCAUAUUUGUCGCAUGGCGAAUAUGGGAAAGCUCCGGCGGCAAAGGAUGGGCCCGCGGCCUGUUAGCUAGUUGGUGGGGUGUGGCCUACCAAGGCAAUGAUGGGUAGCCGGGUUGAGAGACCGACCGGCCAGAUUGGGACUGAGACACGGCCCAGACUCCUACGGGAGGCAGCAGGU
Molecule: ribosomal RNA, 265 nt
Filed under: uncultured Atopobium sp.
Lineage: Bacteria; Bacillati; Actinomycetota; Coriobacteriia; Coriobacteriales; Atopobiaceae
Description: partial 16S ribosomal RNA
Rfam family: Bacterial small subunit ribosomal RNA
Source: RNAcentral